RNAcentral lists this ribosomal RNA (875 nucleotides) under uncultured archaeon. RNAcentral describes it as "bacterial SSU rRNA". It matches the Rfam family "Archaeal small subunit ribosomal RNA", at positions 21 to 903 of the family's 1478-position model. The record is from RNAcentral.
CCUGACUGCUAUCGGAUUGAUACUAAGCCAUGCGAGUCUUUGCAGUAAUGCAAGGCAUACGGCUCAGUAACACGUAGUCAACUUACCCUAUGGACGAGGAUAAUCUCGGGAAACUGAGCAUAAUACUCGAUAGAUCAUAAUGCCUGGAAUGGUUUAUGGUUGAAAUGAUUCGUCGCCAUAGGAUGGGACUGCGGCCUAUCAGCUUGUUGGUGAGGUAAUGGCCCACCAAGGCGAUUACAGGUACGGGCUCUGAGAGGAGAAGCCCGGAGAUGGGUACUGAGACAAGGACCCAGGCCCUAUGGGGCGCAGCAGGCGAGAAAACUUUGCAAUGUGCGAAAGCACGACAAGGUUAAUCCGAGUGAUUUCUGCUAAAGAAAUCUUUUGCAAGUCAUAAAACCACUAGUGAAUAAGGGGUGGGCAAGUUCUGGUGUCAGCCGCCGCGGUAAAACCAGCACCUCAAGUGGUCAGGAGGAUUAUUGGGCCUAAAGCAUCCGUAGCCGGCUCUGUAAGUUUUCGGUUAAAUCCAUGUGCUCAACGCAUGGGCUGCCGAAAAUACUGCAUAGCUAGGGAGUGGGAGGGGUAGACGGUACUCGGUAGGAAGGGGUAAAAUCCUUUGAUCUAUCGAUGACCACCUGUGGCGAAGGCGGUCUACCAGAACACGUUCGACGGUGAGGGAUGAAAGCUGGGGGAGCAAACCGGAUUAGAUACCCGGGUAGUCCCAGCUGUAAACGAUGCAGACUCGGUGAUGCAUUGGCAUAUAGCCAGUGCAGUGUCGCAGGGAAGCCGUUAAGUCUGCCGCCUGGGAAGUACGUACGCAAGUAUGAAACUUAAAGGAAUUGGCGGGGGAGCACCACAAGGGGUGAAGCCUGCGGUUC